Molecule: ribosomal RNA, 497 nt
Filed under: uncultured bacterium
Lineage: Bacteria
Description: partial 16S ribosomal RNA
Rfam family: Bacterial small subunit ribosomal RNA
Source: RNAcentral
GAUGAACGCUGGCGGCGUGCCUAAUACAUGCAAGUCGAGCGAACAGACGAGGAGCUUGCUCCUCUGACGUUAGCGGCGGACGGGUGAGUAACACGUGGAUAACCUACCUAUAAGACUGGGAUAACUUCGGGAAACCGGAGCUAAUACCGGAUAAUAUAUUGAACCGCAUGGUUCAAUAGUGAAAGACGGUUUUGCUGUCACUUAUAGAUGGAUCCGCGCCGCAUUAGCUAGUUGGUAAGGUAACGGCUUACCAAGGCAACGAUGCGUAGCCGACCUGAGAGGGUGAUCGGCCACACUGGAACUGAGACACGGUCCAGACUCCUACGGGAGGCAGCAGUAGGGAAUCUUCCGCGAUGGGCGAAAGCCUGACGGAGCAACGCCGCGUGAGUGAUGAAGGUCUUCGGAUCGUAAAACUCUGUUAUUAGGGAAGAACAAAUGUGUAAGUAACUAUGCACGUCUUGACGGUACCUAAUCAGAAAGCCUCGGCUAACUACGUG